GGUGUUUUAAGAUGGUCAGGAUGACAAGGAAGAGCAUCCUCUUUUUGGUUCUUGAGGAGGGAGAGAUGAGUUCUGCUCCUGGAGGUGUGAAAACCUGGGCACACGGGAGGCACAGGGCCGGAGAUGCCAAUCCAGCCAGGCAGGUGAAGCAGGCGUAGCUCCCACCUGGGCCCUGUGUUUAGCGCCAAAGUGGCGCAUGCGGAGAGAGCCAGGCACCGGUGAUGGCAGCAGGGAGACCUGAGUGCAAUGUUUGCAGUCAUUUAUUCAAUGAAUAUUUUACAAGCAUAAUACCACAAAUUCUUCAAGGGAAAGGAUCAUUUAUUUAUGUUGCUGUCUUGCCUAUAGUAAGUAAAUCAAUGUUUGUUAAUUGUUGUUGUUUGUUUGCCUCUCUGGACAUCAAGCCCAAGGCCUUACUGCACGUGCCUGGAAAGCUCUCUCCCACUGAUCUAUAGCCCCAGCCCCUGUGUUAGUUUUCUAAUUGCUUUAAUUUUAUUAUUACCUGAGCAUUACCUUGAAUAAUGUGUCAAUUGGGAAAACAGAAGCUCAAAUAAAUUUAACAUCAAGAGAUAGUGAGUUAUAAAACCAUUGGGAGGGAUAAAAAUUUGGUACUACUGCUCUUCCCAAGGAAGCCCAGGAGAGCUGACACUGGGGUCUCAGCUGCUGGCAGUGCACAUGGAUGUGGAUGGCACUCAAGAGGGCACCAAGACACCCACAGCUACUUUCUUGUUCAUCUUCCAAAUUUCUCACUGAGAGACAGCUAAAUCCCUGCUGGCAAGGAGCUCU
Molecule: long non-coding RNA, 783 nt
Filed under: Fukomys damarensis (Damara mole-rat)
Lineage: Eukaryota; Metazoa; Chordata; Mammalia; Rodentia; Bathyergidae
Description: lncRNA (ENSFDAG00000030637.1)
Source: RNAcentral